UUUCAAAAGACAAUUAGAUUGGAGGGAUACAAGAAACGAUUAGCAUGGUCCCUGCGCAAGGAUGACACGCAAAUUCGUGAAGCGUUCCAUAUUUAA
This 96-nucleotide small nuclear RNA is filed under the name Phocoena sinus (vaquita). Lineage: Eukaryota; Metazoa; Chordata; Mammalia; Artiodactyla; Phocoenidae. The record is from RNAcentral.